This 97-nucleotide signal recognition particle RNA is filed under the name Planctomycetota bacterium. Its description in RNAcentral is "Planctomycetes bacterium signal recognition particle sRNA small type". It matches the Rfam family "Bacterial small signal recognition particle RNA". Rfam says of the family: The signal recognition particle (SRP) is a universally conserved ribonucleoprotein involved in the co-translational targeting of proteins to membranes. The record is from RNAcentral. Lineage: Bacteria; Pseudomonadati; Planctomycetota.
GGUCGGGUCCCGAGUAAUGGUGCGGUGCGAACCUGGUCAGGCCGGGAACGGAGCAGCCAUAAGCAUGCGGUGUCAUGUCUCGGAUCACCUGGCCGUC